Long non-coding RNA from Cephus cinctus (wheat stem sawfly), 2684 nucleotides. RefSeq lists it as uncharacterized. The transcript is spliced from 3 exons. NCBI's taxonomy places the organism in Eukaryota, Metazoa, Arthropoda, Insecta, Hymenoptera, Cephidae. The record is from RefSeq and is a predicted model, not a curated record.
AAACAUAGUCAAAGUGGCAAUUCUUAAGUCGACUGGCAACUCUUGCUUAAUAAAUCAUCCUAAUGAUCUCAUCGUGUGAAUAGCUACAAUACAAACACGUAAACCGGUUUACAAAACAAAGCUACGUAUGGGAUAUUGGAAUUAUUCAUAAACAGAGAUACGAAAGAAGAACAUGAAAGUCAGCGGAACAAGUUACAAUUCUUAGAGGUCAACAUACACCAUGUUACGUCAUGCACGUGCAAAAGGUAAAAACUAAAGUCAGUUGAUAUAAUUAUACGAAAAAGUAACCAGUUGAAUAAUAAUUCUCAUUGCUUUCAUGACACAACGUACGAAAUGCAUUGUACGUGUACGCGAAUCGAGUAUUGUCAUCGUCGGAUAGACGGAACAUUUAAGCAUUUAAGAACGUAGCCAUCUGGAGUUUGGUUAGCGAAGCAGUAUUUGCAUAUAGGUGGCAGCACUGCCAUCGAUCACAAGCGAGAGUCAGUAACAAAGCUUGUCGUUGAGAAUUGUCCAAGUGUAUAACAGAAUACCUAAUUAACGUAAGGUCCCGUUCACCUUCACGCGAUUCAGUGACUGUACAGCAGAGAGUAGGCAAUAAAGAGUGAGUUAGAUUAUUAAGUUCGGCAAAGCUAUGUAUGUUAGACCGGGCUAAGGCCUGCGCUAUGCUAAGCUAACCUAUAGUAGGCUAGGUUAAGUUAGAUUUGGCCAAGUGAGUACCUACCAGUACCUGUGCGUUUGUUUGUAAAACCAGGCACGGACGGUAAUUGCGUGAUAUAAAUGGACGGGCGUGUGUUCUGAAUUAACGUACAGAUUUACGAGCGAUUUCGGACGUCCUCGAAUUAAAAACAGAAUUUAUGGGGAGGUAUGACUCCUGUAAUUCUUUCUGUAUAAGAGACGAUCAAUUGACGGUGUCCUAUAUGACCUCGUACGGGCAGAUCCUCAAUUACGUUAAUCAGACAAUGAGUGCACGUUAACGUAAAUCUUGUACUCGAUUUCUCGUAGCAAGGUUAUUUAUAUUUAGAAGAUAAUUUGAUUGGUCGAUUCAGAUAGAAGAUGAUACUGUAGACGGCACGUGCUCGAAUUUCACAAUCCUUCGCACCAACAAUGUAAAUCUCAAGUACGGUCUGAAGCGGCUUCCUUUUUUUUUAUAUAUAUAUUUGCGAACGCACGUUCCGACUUUAUAUACAGUUAGAUUUCUACUGUGCCUACCGAAUCGACUUUUUCAUCGGUUUCCUUCCUCUACUUUUUCCAUCGGUAACGAUUUUGCCAACUACAAAGAUUUUCGGCUACUCGCAGCAAAAUAGUGACGAGUCAUCGAACGAGAGUUCAUAAGAAACCGUUAUACCAGAGUGCACGGUGAGUCACGCGAUCCAGAUUUCAGGUGACAAUAAGUCUACGAUCGUAUAGAUCACGAAAGAUCAAGAUCACUCGAGCCUUUCUAUUGUAUCGCUACGGCGAUUGGUUCGUACAAAAAAAGAAACAAUUUGUGGCAGAGAGGUUGGAUAGAUAUACCUUCUAUACGUAUGCGUGCAAGCGAAGAGAAGCCUGUCGGGCGCAGGAGGAAAAGAAACUGGUUGUCGCCAGCGUUGCCAAAGUAAGCAACGUUUGCCACUGUUGCCACAGUGUGUCCCUACUAACUUGUAUCUCGACACGCUCUAUGCUUACGGAGUGGCUUUAACGGGUUGGCUGAUGGAUUUGGCCUUGGUCAUCGUUUGAUCUCCACUCGAGUGAAUCAGUUCGAAUCUUUCUCGCACCUCUCGAAAUUCAUGAGAAAAGUUUCCACGGUUACGUGCAUCAAUGAUAUAUCACUUUUAGGAACAUUGUUCCUUGUUAAAGGUCCGUUGGUAAUUUAGACCCACAGUAUUGACUAUUAACAUUAACCUUAUCACGAUCGGAUUCAAGGCUCUUGGAUACAACGACAAAUUUGAGUUUGGACGGGUCGAUUUCGAUUUUGAAAAUUAUUAUUUAUUUUCACAAAUUUAAUAAAUUCUCAAAUUUUGGAAUCUUUCAAACUCAGUAUCGUCGACCGAAUUUAUUGUUCGUAUGGAGAUUUAUGAUGAAAAAUAUUUUAUUUAAAUAUUUUAAUGUAAUUAAGUAACUUUUUUAUUGCUUAAAUUGCUCUGUCAAAUUUUUCAUAACUUUAUGCAUUACCUACGUACAUCAGUUGACGUUAUUCGAUUUUGCAAGGCCAAAAACUUCACGCUCUAGCAAUAUCUGCAGUUGAAAGUUUUAUACGUUAUUAGUUAUCUGUUCUCCAUCGACAACUCGUAAUAAAUCAACUCUAAUCUUUCGCGCGUCGUAAUCCGUCAAAAUGUAAUAGCGUGUCAUUCCGAUUGCGAGACUAGGUCUUGCUUCGUGAAUGACGGGUUUUAACAAAAAAUGAUAAAAAUUAAAAAAAAAACAAUCUCUAAUCAAGUCCCGAAUCUACGAUUCGACGGUUCUUACGACUUCGAAAUUUUAUUAGCUUGCACGAUAUUGCAAAUUGACGAAUUUCUUUUUCAACACUUGAUAAAUUUAAUUAUAACUUGAAUAAUGAAUUCGAAAUUAAAUUUAUCCAUAUUGAAAAAUACGGCACGAAUAUUGUACAACAUAAUUGAAAAUGAAUUGUAAAAACUUAACGUCGAGAGCUGUUUAUACAAAUUAAUGAACGUAACAGAUUGCAGGACUGGGGAUUGUUUCGAUAA